CCUACGGGUGGCAGCAGUGGGGGAUAUUGCACAAUGGGGGGAACCCUGAUGCAGCGACGCCGCGUGGGUGAAGGAGUGCUUCGGCAUGUAAAGCCCUAUCGGCAGGGAAGAAGCAAGACGGUACCUGACUAAGAAGCCCCGCCUAACUACGUGCCAGCAGCCGCGGUAAUACGUAGGGGGCGAGCGUUAUCCGGAUGCACUGGGUGUAAAGGGAGCGUAGACGGCAAUGCAAGCCAGGGGUGAAAGCCCGGGGCUCAACCCCGGGACUGCCCUUGGAACUGGGCGGCUAGAGUGCGGGAGGGGCAGGCGGAAUUCCUGGUGUAGCGGUGAAAUGCGUAGAUAUCAGGAGGAACACCGGCGGCGAAGGCGGCCUGCUGGACUGCGACUGACGUUGAGGCUCGAAAGCGUGGGGAGCGAACAGGAUUAGAUACCCCAGUAGUC
This 441-nucleotide ribosomal RNA is filed under the name uncultured bacterium. RNAcentral describes it as "partial 16S ribosomal RNA". It matches the Rfam family "Bacterial small subunit ribosomal RNA", at positions 338 to 795 of the family's 1533-position model. The record is from RNAcentral.